GCACACUAGCCGCCAACUUCGGCGUUCACUGGCGUUUUUUGCCGCAAGAGCCCUGAACGCCUGAAAAAUCCCUAGUCUGCUACGAACGGCGUCGGCGAACGCGACUUGCCGCCACUUGCCGCAACGGUAGUCUGACAGUUAGUUUGUUUUAUUUGACCCGUCAGCUUUAAUAAGCAAUGAAUGAGCAUGAACAUGAUGAAAGACUAACAGGAAUAUUCAUCUGAUUUCCAGUUUCGCCUUGAUUGGCGGCCGCGACAGUUAUGGACAAAGCCGAGAAGGAGCCUUUCGACCCGUCCGUCGACGAUGAGGGCGGUGGAGCGGGUUCAGACGGGGGCUCGGAAUUGGGAGAUGAAAACAAGGAAAGAGGAAAUUGGGGGAAGCAGAUAGACUUCUUAUUCUCUUGUAUUGGAUAUGCUGUUGGACUUGGGAAUAUCUGGAGGUUUCCUUAUCUCUGUAUGAGAAAUGGAGGAGGUGCUUUCCUUAUCCCGUACUUCAUAUUUCUGUUUAUUGGGGGAGUCCCUCUGUUCUACAUGGAGCUGGCAAUGGGACAGUUCUCCAGCCGCAGCCCCUUGGCGGUCUGGGACUUGUGUCCGCUAUUCAAAGGUAUUGGCUGGGGAAUGACUAUAAUAUCGUGCUUCUUCAGCAUCUACUACGAAGCGGUCAUCACCUGGGUAAUCUACUACCUGGGAAUGUCCUUCCAGAACCCACUCCCCUGGUCGCACUGCAACAACACUUGGAACACCGACAGAUGCGUCACUCGAGGGGGCAAGGCCCAGCUUAACUCGACCAACGAAACUGAGUUAGCAGCGAAUAUAUAUGGAACUGGAGUCAUUAGUUACAAUUUCACUAAAGACCUCGGUAAUAUGACGUCAAAUGCGACAGCAAAAGCAAUGACGUCGGUUGAGGAAUUCUGGCAGUAUAACACUCUUGAGAUGACAGAAGACAUUGGGACGAUGGGAGGACUAAGGUGGCAACUAGUCCUAUGCCACAUCGUCGGAUGGACCGUGGUGAUACUUUGUGUUCUCAGGGGAAUCAAGACUUCAGGGAAGGUGGUGUACGUCACGGCAACAGUCCCCUACAUCUUUCUGACCAUCCUUCUCAUAAGAGGAUGUACUCUACCAGGUGCUGCUGAUGGUGUCUUGUACUAUAUAAGACCAAACUGGAGUAAACUAGGAGAAUUUCAGAUCUGGACGGAGGCGUGUAUGCAGAUAUUUUACUCUCUUGGACCAGCCUGGGGUGGUCUUAUAACCAUGUCUAGUUACAACAGAUUCAAUAACAACAUUUUCAGGGAUUCAAUGAUGGUGCCUGUGAUCAACUCCUUCACCAGCUUCUUCGCGGGUUUCGUCGUCUUCUCCGUGAUCGGGUUCAUGGCGAAUGAGGCUGGCUUACCCGUGGAAGAUGUCAUCACCUCAGGGCCUGGCCUGGCCUUCGUGGCUUACCCCGAGGCCAUCAGCAAUCUACCCUUCUCCCCGAUAUGGUCCGUCCUCUUCUUCAUCAUGCUGCUGACCAUUGGAUUGGACAGCCAGUUUGCGUCCUUCGAGACCUUGGUGAGCGGCAUAGUGGAUGAAUUCCCUCAUCUCUUCCGAGGAAAGAAGUUCUUCGUGAUGAUCGGCGCUGGGAUCUUUGAGAUGUUCAUAUCUCUUAUAUUCUGUACCAGAGCGGGUAUCUAUCACUUCCAAAUAUGGGAUUGGUACUCCGCUGCUUUCUCGGUAGUCACCAUCGCCGUGUUGGAGUGUUUUGUUGUCUUCUAUCUUUACGGUGGCAAACGAUUUCUCUAUGAUAUCAAGAUGAUGUUAGGAUACACCCCAAGUAUAAUUUGGAGAAUACUGCUAGGAGGAGUCACACCUAUACUCAUGUUCGGCUGUCUCUUGUAUGCCAUCGUAAAGUUCGACUCUCCCAAGUAUGGGGAGUACGAAUAUCCAAUCUGGGCAAAAGGUAUGGGCUGGGCUCUUGCCCUUUGCUCCAUGGUACCAAUACCGACCUUCAUCAUAUACCGAUUAGCGAGAGAAAGAGGGACUUUUAUUCAAAGACUAAAACACUCGGUAAAGCCUACGCCAGCGUGGGGUCCAAUGGUUGAGAAGAACAGGAAAGGUUACAUUUACGAUCAGAAUUAUCGUGAACAGGAGCUGACAUCAAUGACAGAAAAACAAAACCACGUGUAACAGUAAUGACUGGAAAUGGCUCACAGUAGUGACGGAAUAAGAUUCAUCUCCGUCACGAAGUUCUAACGUUGCUCGCUGUUGCUGGGGGUUAAGAUGGUAGCUGCACUGACCUCUGCUGGCAAACGUGCAGAAAGUCUGCCAGAACUUGAAUCAUGGCCUUUUUAAUAGCACAAGGAGGAUACGGGAAGUGGGUAAGGGCGAGUUUAUACGGCGUGUGAAGAGUUUGAGUCGAGCUUGGGACAGGUCCUGUACACAUCUCCUACUUAUCCCCCUGUCAUGUUGUUGUUAUUUCAUUAUUGUACCGUUUAUUGCUAGUUUUUGUGAGUCUUCAUUUAUCCUGAGGAAGACACGGUAGUGUCACAAGUUCGACUCAUUAAAAUCGAAAAAAAUGGUAUCAAGCUCCUCUUUCCAAUAAUGUAGCGUCGUAUUCUAAAACACCCGCGUGAGAAUAUUUCAUUUUCAUAAUGAACAAUGUAUAUAGCCUCGUUUUCACCACAGAGGUUUGGGUGAGAUAACGCAAACCGCUUGGGUUGGUGCCACAUGUAGAAGCAUUUCAAAAGCAUUUAAAACCACAUUGUUCGAUAUUUAAUUUGAGAUGUUUUAGAAUAGAAAUCGAUACCUCACUGUCGGUACUGAUUAUCUCACCCAAACCGCUCGGGUGGAACUAAAAUAUUGGCCAAAACCUCGGCUACGCCUCCAGUUCCGUAUCAAUAGCAUGCCGCGAAGUUACUAUUUAUAGCUCACAAGAUCAUUUGCAUAAGAUAUUGAUGACGUUUUAGUCACGUGACAGGCGGACAUCGACACUUAUUUCUACGCAUUUGAGCUUAUUCCAAAGUAAAUUAUCUUUGACCCUGCAUUGUUUUUAGCAUGAAUGAUACCAUAGAGUCAGAGAGAGAAAUAUUCAGAACAAUUAUGUAGUAUUUCCAACACUCGGACAUGUGCCAGAUUGAAUCUAACUGCCCAAGUCAGAAAGCCUGAAUCCAUUACGAAACCGCAUUUUGUCCGACAUUGCCUGUAAUUCAGCGAUGGGGAAAUAGAGGGCAGCAGCUGCAGUGACGUCAUCUUCGCGGAAUGCUAUUCCUUAAGCCAAUCGGCGCGUGUUGUGCAUCAUGGUCAAAAGCGACCACAAAAAACGAAUACAGCGCCUCUCUGAGAGAGGCUGGAUCCAUCAGUCCUUGUUUGCUGCUUGGAGGUUGGUUUGUUGUAGAGUGUGGCUUUAUGAUGGAUAAAGUUAUAUCGUCGCCAUUCGUGCGUUUGCAUAUUCCAGAUCCAUUAACAAGCUCCAUUCUUUGCAUGAUAUAGACAAGGAGCUAGAUGGCAAAGGGAAGCUAAAUUACCUCUAAAUUUGGGUCAACGUGAAGGCAGGAGACUCUGUUUAAAAUCAAAGAGAGCGAAGAUACAUAGGUUGUGUAUGUUAGAUCAUUACUAAAGUUAGUCAUCCAUUUUUAUACAUGUGUUUUUGUUCUGCUGAAACCUAUUUUGCCUGAACGCAGCAGGCUACUUAUGUAUCAAAACACUGUGUAUUGUAUAUGUUAGAUAAUAAUGUUUAGACGACGUCUAUUUGAACAAUUAGCACCUUAUAAAUGUAGUUCUCUAACUGAAUGUAUAUAUGUAUAAAUAUCAGAAAAUAGGUGUAAGGGUUUUAAUCGAAAUCUUGCAUGGAAUUGGUCAAGUGUCAUUUAAUUGAUUGAAGAGGUUGCUGAAGACAAUGCUGUUUAAGAAACAUUUCUUUGAGGGGGGGGGGGGCUUGAUCACAUCAAACGAUGAAAAGGCGCCGUAUAUAAAUCCGUAUAUUACGUUAUAUUAUGUAACUUUUAAAUGGGGGGGGGCUCUUAAAAACGCCAUGUAAUUUGAAUUUUGGAACUUAAUUUUAGGAAGUAAAUCAUCAUACGAGCAAAAAACAUUUUAUUCCGACGAGACUCGAACCUGCGGCAUUCGAUGAUCGAAGGCCACGAGAUUAUCACCCUUUGUUGAU
RNA transcript from Lineus longissimus, 4137 nucleotides. It is a transcript of the gene named sodium- and chloride-dependent glycine transporter 1-like, with no coding region annotated. The record is from RefSeq and is a predicted model, not a curated record. NCBI's taxonomy places the organism in Eukaryota, Metazoa, Nemertea, Pilidiophora, Heteronemertea, Lineidae. The transcript has 13 exons.